This 1293-nucleotide ribosomal RNA is filed under the name Andrena flavipes. RNAcentral describes it as "16S ribosomal RNA". The stretch from base 1014 to 1172 matches the Rfam family "Archaeal large subunit ribosomal RNA", at positions 2544 to 2703 of the family's 2987-position model. The record is from RNAcentral. Lineage: Eukaryota; Metazoa; Arthropoda; Insecta; Hymenoptera; Andrenidae.
GUGUUUGAUGUUGGUUUACUUUAUGAAAAAUAAUUUAAUUUAGUUGUGUUUUAGUAAUUACUGUGAAUAAAUUGGAUUUUAUAUAGUAUGUGUAUUGUGAAAGAAUAAUUUUUUAUUUGAAGAAGUAAAUUAGUUUUUUACCUUUUGUAUCAGGGUUUAUUAAAUAAUUAAUAUGAAUUUAUUGAUCUCGAAAUUAAAAGAGCUAUCUAUAAAUUAUUUUUUAUGUUGAAUAAUGAUUAUAAAUUUAUAGAUGGGAGUGAAAUGCUAUUCGAUUUUAGUGAUAUCUAGUUUUUUUUGAAAUGAAUUUAAUUCAUAUAUUUAAUUAAAUAAUAAAAUUAUUUUGUAUUUUUGUUAAAUAUAAAAAAUCUAUGGGACAAUCUAUAGGUUUAUGUUACUAUUUAGGUUAGUGUUUUGUAAGAAUUGUGGUUUUAAAAUUUAAUUUCAUUUGAGAUAAUUUAAUAAUUUAUUUUAUUUAUUAAAAAUUUAAUGAUUUAAUGUAAUAGUUUAAAAUAAAGUAUAUAUAAAUAAUCUUUGUAUAGAUAUAAUGAUAAAAUUAGUAAUUGAUUUAGUAUAAAUAAUUAUUAUGUAUAAAUAAAUUAAAGGAACUCGGCAAGUUUAAAAUAUUCACCUGUUUAUCAAAAACAUGUCUUUUUGUUUAAUAAUUUAAAGUCUGCUCUGCCCAAUGAAUUAUUUUUAAUGGCUGCAGUAUACUGACUGUACAAAGGUAGCAUAAUAAUUAGUCUUUUUAUUGAAGGCUUGUAUGAAUGAGUUGAUGAAAUAUUUACUGUCUCUAAUUUAAAUUAUUAAUUUAGAUUUUAAGUAAAAAUGCUUAAAUUUUUAUAUGGGACGAGAAGACCCUAUAGAAUUUUAUAGUUUAUACUAAUAGUAAUUUUAUUAGUAUAAACUAUUUUGUUGGGAGGAUAUUUAAAUUUAUUUAACUUUAAAAAUUUUAUCCAAUUAUUUUUGUUUAAAAAGAUAGUUUAUUAAAAAUUGUUAGAUUAAAUUACCUUAGGGAUAACAGCGUAAUAUCUUUGGAGAGUUCAUAUUUAUAAAGAUGAUUGCGACCUCGAUGUUGAAUUAAAGUAUAAUUUAAAUGCAGGAGUUUAAAUUUUAAGUCUGUUCGACUUUUAAUAUUUUACAUGAUUUGAGUUCAGAUCGGUGUGAGCCAGAUCGGUUUCUAUCUAUAUUUAUCUAAUAAAUUUUUGUACGAAAGGACUCAAUUUAUAGACUAUUUUUUUAUACACAUAUUGAGAUUAAUAAAUAACGUUGAACUUCCUUGGCAGAAUAGUGCGU